UUAAUAUUUAUAGGCUUAAUUGCAUGUUGUGUGCAUUUUGGUCUUACAGUUUCCUUCAUCUCUAAACUGCACACCUACAGCACACUUUUAUUGUGUCUAUUGCAGCCAUACAAUACUAUGCAAAGACCAGUUCAGACAUCAUGUAUCUCUGUGCAGCAGUGCAACCAAGACCACUAUAGCAGAAGUGUUUAAUCCACAGACUGUUGCUACUUCUGAUGCACGUCCAGCUCCCCCUCUGCCAGCUACUCCUGAUACACCUUCUCCCAGUUCUGGUCUUGCUUCCUCUGUGCAUGGUAUUAAUUAUAUUAAUUAUUAUAUUUUCUCUCAGGAAAGUUCAGCGUGUUGAACGUGUGACUGAUGAAGGAGAUAGAAUGGGCAACGUCUCCUUUGAACAGAUACAGUUCUGGAAGAGGGUGACAAAGCUUUUUUAAAGCUGUCACUGGUUUGUCGUCUCUUCCGGGACAUUGUUUGGACAACAAUCAUUCCUGGCCCGGGCACAUUUCGAGUGGCUUGACAGUGUAGUGCCAUGAAAACAUCACAGUGCUGCAUGUAAAGACGAGUUUCGCAGGAUGUACGAACUGCAGUGCUGCCAGAACUGUCAAGAAACUUAUAAAGACUGCAUACUGGGCUACGUUGGGCAUGGGAGACGAGGGGAGCUUGUGGCAUUUUACAGCGAAAACGAGCACCCUGGAUUCUGCAGCCAGCUUCAUGAGUGGCUGGGUGUGUGAGUGGCUGGGUGUGUGAGUGGCUGGGUGUGUGAGUGGCUGGGUGUGUGAGUGGCUGGGUGUGUGAGUGGCAGGGUGUGUGAGUGGCAGGGUGUGUGAGUGGCAGGGUG
This is a long non-coding RNA of Astyanax mexicanus (Mexican tetra), 835 nucleotides long. RefSeq lists it as uncharacterized. NCBI's taxonomy places the organism in Eukaryota, Metazoa, Chordata, Actinopteri, Characiformes, Acestrorhamphidae. The record is from RefSeq and is a predicted model, not a curated record. The transcript has 4 exons.